CACGCAGGCGGUCAUAUAAGUCAGCUGUUAAAUGUAUGGGCUUAACCGAUGCAUGCGGUUGAAACUGUAUGGCUGGAGUACUGGAGAGGUAAGCGGAAUUCCCGGUGUAGCGGUGAAAUGCGUAGAUAUCGGGAAGAACACCAGUGGCGAAGGCGGCUUACUGGCCAGUUACUGACGCUGAGGUGCGAAAGCCAGGGGAGCGAACC
RNAcentral lists this ribosomal RNA (206 nucleotides) under uncultured bacterium. RNAcentral's name for it is "partial 16S ribosomal RNA". It matches the Rfam family "Bacterial small subunit ribosomal RNA", at positions 568 to 774 of the family's 1533-position model. The record is from RNAcentral.